Long non-coding RNA from Agrilus planipennis (emerald ash borer), 812 nucleotides. RefSeq lists it as uncharacterized. Lineage: Eukaryota; Metazoa; Arthropoda; Insecta; Coleoptera; Buprestidae. The transcript is spliced from 4 exons. The record is from RefSeq and is a predicted model, not a curated record.
GCCCUACUGUAAUUCUUCGUUUAUUGACAGCCGCUCUUAUCGGAAAAGAAAAACAAUAUAUUUUGAUUUGUAAUUAAGGCCUUUUAGAACAAGAAUUUAGUAUAGGAUAAAAGCGCUAAAAAUUUUGAAGAAGAUAGAGCUCUCGAUUUUUUGAUUAAAUGCCUAAAAGAUGUGGGUGUUUAUGUAUCAAAAAGCCUACUGGGGCGCUAAAGGUGUUUAAAAAGAAUGUGGCUGUAAAAUACAUUUAGUGGUCUUGAGAUCUGCCCAGGUGGAUUAGUCUUUCAAUCAAGUUAAUCAGUUAAAAUAGCAUCUUCUUUUUAUGUACUUUCGAUCUUACAGCAUAGAUCUGAAGUGUGAAAAUGGUACACUAACAUGUAAAAGUGUUACUUUUAUAUGACCACUGAAGCAUUUGUGAAGAGUUUACAUCGCACCUGUUAAAAAGCAUUUGUUUACGUCAAUGUUACCAAGUUACAGUAAUUUACAUGUUUAUUCUACUUUUAUAUUCAACAAAUACCACAAAUACCAUCCUAUGAUUACAUUAAAGAGGCGUCAAUAACUUCUUACAUGCAAAAUGUUGGUAAUAUAACAAGCCUUAUGAAGCACAAAAAAGUACUAUCAGUGUAGACAAAUUGAUAUGUAGAGAGUAUUGCAAAGGCUUUAAAACAGGUCCAAGUUACAUACAGAAUAAGUAAAUAAGCACAUUUACGUAGUAGGACUUGUUAAUUACAUUGUAAGAGAAAAGACUCUCAAAAUGGCGAUUUAUCUGCAAUUAUAACAGAGGGUUUGUGGUUGAAAGUGUAAUUUCUUACUAU